Molecule: ribosomal RNA, 693 nt
Filed under: fungal sp. BLH 95
Lineage: Eukaryota; Fungi
Description: eukaryotic LSU rRNA
Rfam family: 5.8S ribosomal RNA (bases 335-488)
Source: RNAcentral
UGCGGAGGGAUCAUUAAGAUGCGCCCAGCCUCUGCGCACAGCGGCCCACCGGCUGCCGCGUGCACGCCCUGCAUCCUCGAUAUUACAGCACCUCGCGUUCUCCUUCGGCGGGUCAGCCCGCCGUCGGAAUCAAGAUACACCCAAUUUGCAAGCAGCAUGCGCAUGCCUGUGGACAGUACAAUAUCUCUGGUGUGGGGUGUAAGACCGGGUUACCUCCCUCGCCGCGCUCGCGGCGAGUGUGGUGCCGGCCUCCUAGAACACUUUUUGGAACUCCUCCGCACAUGUGAAUGUUGCCAGUGAUUUCUAUACCCGUUCAGAAACAAACAAUCGUUACAACUUUCAACAAUGGAUCUCUUGGCUCUGGCAUCGAUGAAGAACGCAGCGAAAUGCGAUAAGUAGUGUGAAUUGCAGAAUUCAGUGAAUCAUCGAAUCUUUGAACGCACAUUGCGCCCCUCGGUAUUCCGUGGGGCAUGCCUGUUCGAGCGUCAUCUACACCCUCAAGCGCUGCUUGGUGUUGGGUGCCUGUCCCGCCUCCGCGCGCGGACUCACCCCAAAUGCAUUGGCGGCGGCCCGUGCCCCUCCCGCGCAGCACAUUGCGCUUCUCGAGGCGGCCAGCGGCCCGCGUCCACGAAGCCGACAACCCGUCUUUGACCUCGGAUCAGGUAGGGAUACCCGCUGAACUUAAGCAUAUCA